UGGUGGAGUGAUUUGUCUGGUUAAUUCCGUUAACGAACGAGACCUCGACCUGCUAAAUAGUACAAGGUAUCACUCGAUAUUCUUGCACUUCUUAGAGGGACUGUCGGUGGGUUACCCGACGGAAGUUCGAGGCAAUAACA
Molecule: ribosomal RNA, 140 nt
Filed under: uncultured eukaryote
Lineage: Eukaryota
Description: partial 18S ribosomal RNA
Rfam family: Eukaryotic small subunit ribosomal RNA
Source: RNAcentral